CGGGGGGAGCAAGCGUUGUUCGGAUUACUGGGCGUAAAGGGCGCGUAGGCGGCACUGCAAGUCAGUUGUGAAAUCUCCGGGCUUAACCCGGAAAGGUCAACUGAUACUGCAGGGCUAGAGUGCAGAAGGGGCAACUGGAAUUCUCGGUGUAGCGGUGAAAUGCGUAGAUAUCGAGAGGAACACCUGCGACGAAGGCGGGUUGCUGGGCUGACACUGACGCUGAGGCGCGAAAGCCAGGGAGCGAACGGG
This 249-nucleotide ribosomal RNA is filed under the name uncultured bacterium. Its description in RNAcentral is "partial 16S ribosomal RNA". It matches the Rfam family "Bacterial small subunit ribosomal RNA", at positions 526 to 776 of the family's 1533-position model. The record is from RNAcentral.